GAGAAAAAACGGUCCCACUAAAAUGUCAAUAAACCCCACUAUCUUGAUGUCAAAACCAAAGGAGUUUUCUGUCCACCAUUAUAUUCCAGUGAGUGCGCCAACCGCCAGAAAUACACCAAGGCAAUGCCAAAAUUGUAGCACUUGUGGCUGAUUCAGGUUCAAUUAAUUGAUGAUUGUGAAGUUGGUACUCUGUUACCAUUCUCAAACAAAAAAAAUAAAAAUUGGUAACUUUUGCUCUUUCAAUCAAAAACCAGAAAGUGUAUUACUUAGAGAUCUUGGAACAUGAUAUUUUCACUUUGUGUUCUCUCUCUUUUUGUGUAGGGAAAAUGAAUUUGAAAGCUGAUAAAUUUUCGGGGAUAAUUGCAGCCGUUGCAGAAUUUUAAGCGAAUUGCCGCAAAAAAAAAAAAAUCAUCUUAUAACCAUGGCGAAUUGCCGCUGGCAGAUUGCGAUGGAACUUCAAGGUGGAAGUCCGUCACCAAAAAUUCUGGUGAACCCUUUCCUUCGAGCAUAGUGUUUGUGAAAUGGAAGGUAUAAUAAGUUAUUAAAAUCGAGUACCCUCUUAUAUUGUUAUAUUCUAGACCGAUUUCAUACUGUGUUUUUUAUUUAAUAAGUUCUAACAUGCGUCGGGUUUUUUCACCGAUUGAAGUAUUUUUGAGUUUGCAAUUUUAUUGAUUAACUUUGAGGUUUUGAUCUAUUUAUCUAUUUAUAGUCAUAAUUUUUAGGAUAGCUGGAUGGAGUAACGAUUUAUGGUAGGUGCAAAUAUACACCAUUUUAAAAGCGUAUUGAUUGCCUCAUAAUCUUAAAAAUCUUUGGUGUAUUUCAGUAAAGUUGGAAGCAAAUGUUCCAGAAAACUAAAUUUUAGCUAUGGCAAGAAAACAGAUUAGGAAAAAGCUUUCAAAGCUGACUGUCCUUUUUAAGAGUUUUGAAGAUUGAUAAAAAGAAGUAUGGUUAUUUUGAGAAUUAUUGAUGGAUUUGGUGAUUGAGUGAAAAACAAAUAAGAAGAAGAAAAAAAGAUGAUUCGUGCAUAAUUGAGCGCGCAUCUUUUUUCCUUGAAAUAUGCAUGCACAAGUAUUCAUUUAGCUAAUUAGUUUAACAAUAUCUGGUAAAACUUACAAAACAAGGCUGAAACUUUAAGGGAUAGGAGUUGGGAAAUUCUUUAUUUGGUUUUUACCAUGAAUUGCAUAAAGCAAAAAGAGAUGGCAUGAACUUCAUGAGAGAUGAGUUGGGAAAUUCUUUAUUUGGUCUGUGAGCUGAACUACAUAAAUCAAAGGGAGAUGGCAUAACUAUAUAUUCUGAAAAAUUAGUAGUAUAGAUAGGACACAAGUUGAGCGAAAUAAAUUCUUAAACUGCUCAGACAUCAAGUGGGUUACACUCUCGGUGCAGAACUUUAAAAGUCCGAUUCAUUUCAACAGAGGAAGUAGGUAUAUGUGAACAGAGGGAAUUCACCUGAUUUCGUGUUGUGCAUAUGCGAUGACAGAUCCGACGAGGACAUGUUUUGAGCGCAAGUAGACAAUAUUUCUUCCUGAUAAAGCAGAAGCCUUUGCCUGCUCCGUCAGGCAGAAGCCGGGUAUGGCAAAGCACUAUCUCGAUGAUCCAGUUGAAGUUGUAAAAAUGCUUCAAGGCCUUUCAGCAGCUCCCACCUAAAUUGACAGUCCAUCAAGCAUCUCCUGAAGCCAUCACUCCAUAGUUAAGAGUCAUACACUCUUUGUAUAAAAAAGCAAAAAAAAAAACUCAUAGAAUUCUAUCUUUUGCAGUUGGUUGGAUAUAUCAUAUAUGCUAUCUUAUGCAUGUAAUUAUGCGCAGAGAGUGUUCAUUUCAUUCUAUUUACCCUCACAGGCACCAACCAUAUCAGAUAUUGCAUUAUCACAUCACAAGUCUGUUGAAACAACACCAUGCUGAGAAAGAUUAAUCCACACAUUCAGAAGUCCUGAGUCAAGAGAUCUACCAGCCUCUUGUAUAGUUUAAUAUAGUUCGAGAGAUCUACCAGCCUGGGUCAGAUUAUUAUGCAGUGCAAACUCUAGGAUCGUGAGCAAACAGAUUGCCCACUUGCCUAUAUUACUUUGCCAAAGAGAUUAUGGCUAAAGUUGUAGCCAGCCCAAGCCUUUGAGGUGGUAUAUUUUAGAUUAAUCAUGUAAUUAAUUAUUUUAUGAGAAGCUUAAGAGAUAUUUAUUGUCACGACCCAAUUCGUGGAUCGUGGUGGCACCUACUCUAUCCCCCUGGGUAGGUGAACCACAUCCCAAAUUACUAGAACAAGUUAAUCAAAAGCGGAUUUUAAUAAGGAACAAUUUAUCAAGUCUUAAUAA
Molecule: long non-coding RNA, 2303 nt
Organism: Lycium ferocissimum
Lineage: Eukaryota; Viridiplantae; Streptophyta; Magnoliopsida; Solanales; Solanaceae
Exons: 5
Source: RefSeq, a predicted model, not a curated record